RNAcentral lists this ribosomal RNA (435 nucleotides) under uncultured bacterium. RNAcentral's name for it is "bacterial SSU rRNA". It matches the Rfam family "Bacterial small subunit ribosomal RNA", at positions 29 to 506 of the family's 1533-position model. The record is from RNAcentral.
ACGAACGCUGGCGGUGUGCCUCACACAUGCAAGUCGAACGGGGUAGCAAUACCCAGUGGCGGACGGGUGAGUAACGCGUGGGAAUCUGCCCUAGGGUGGGGGAUAACAAGCCGAAAGGCCUGCUAAUACCUCAUGUGCCGUAAGGUGAAAGGAGUAAUCCGCCCGAGGAUGAGCCCGCGUCCGAUUAGCUAGUUGGUAAGGUAAAAGCUUACCAAGGCUCUGAUCGGUAGCUGGUCUGAGAGGAUGAUCAGCCACAAUGGGACUGAGACACGGCCCAUACUCCUACGGGAGGCAGCAGUGGGGAAUUUUACGCAAUGGGGGAAACCCUGACGUAGCGACACCGCGUGAGCGAAGAAGCCCUUUGGGGUGUAAAGCUCUGUCAGCAGGAACGAAAAAAAUGACGGUACCUGCAGAGGAAGCAUCGGCUAACUACGU